This 20-nucleotide microRNA is filed under the name Mus musculus (house mouse). Its description in RNAcentral is "mmu-miR-8112". Lineage: Eukaryota; Metazoa; Chordata; Mammalia; Rodentia; Muridae. The record is from miRBase by way of RNAcentral.
UCUCCGCCACCUCCACCGCA